CACCGGGGACCGUGAGAGAGCCCUUAAAAUGGUCUGCAUCUAACCACAAAGCUUCUUCAAGCAAGUGAAGUAGAGGCCAGGUACCUAUUUUAGUCUGGGCAAAAUUUAUCUACUGUUCAGACUCAUUGGGUUUUAUUGUAAAUGUGUGAAAGAUCUAAUAAUUGGAAAUGUUGAUGCAGGAAUAUAUACGCCCAGACUCUACACAGAUUAUUGAAAGUAAUUUGUAAAUUCCAUCAAAUAUUAAUAAAAGGAAAAUGGGUAAUAAGUCAGAUGCAGCAAGCAGUGGGGGGUGUGGGGGGAAAGGUCAAUAAAUUGAUGGGCAUGAAGAAGAGUUGAGAUGUAUUAGAGGAAAGAGAUUAAAGCACUAUAGCACUGGAAUUCAUGUUUGGGUGUGGAGAUUAAAGGUUUAAAACUUAUCUUUUCUCCCACGCUGUACCUGUCUAGCUGCGGCUGGCCCCAACUGGUUCACCUCCAUGAGAUGACUGAGGUCAUCA
Non-coding RNA from Pelobates cultripes (western spadefoot toad), 494 nucleotides. The record is from the annotation of a GenBank genome assembly. Lineage: Eukaryota; Metazoa; Chordata; Amphibia; Anura; Pelobatidae.